This 603-nucleotide ribosomal RNA is filed under the name Triticum aestivum (bread wheat). RNAcentral describes it as "partial small subunit ribosomal RNA". The record is from RNAcentral. Lineage: Eukaryota; Viridiplantae; Streptophyta; Magnoliopsida; Poales; Poaceae.
AUGGCGCCGCACAUAACCCUCUCGCCGGUUGUGGUGGCGGCGGCUCUGAUGCUGCUGACAUCGUGUCCGCUCUUCGCCGGAGCGGUGGUUAAACCAGAGGAGGCGAUGGGGAUGCCCGGCUGCGACAUCACCUGCGGCGACAUGAAGGUGCCGUACCCAUUUGGCAUGGGCGCCCCCAGCUGCUACUGGCCAGGGUUCAACCUCACUUGCGACCGCACCGGCAAGACUCCGCGGCUGCUGCUCGGGGAUGGAAGCCUCCAAGUCCAAGAUAUCGACUUGGCUAAUUACCGGCUGUCCGUCACACACACCGGCGAGAUAAAAACCGACGCCAACGGGAGUGGCUGGUUAGGCGGCGCCCUGAGGGACGACGGGCCCUACGUGCUGUCAAGUGACAGCGAGCUCAUCCUGACAGGCUGCAACGUGCGGGCGACACUCAGGGUUGGCGGUGGUGCCACCAUCAGCAGCUGCUCCUCGGUCUGCGAAGCCGGCCAUGAACCAGUCACGAACGUGCCUUCCAGGUUCCAAGGCCGGAUGCUGUGCACUACCAUAGGGCUGCUGCCAGGCGGACAUUGUCCUCAAACAGCCAGUGGAGGCCGUGCCUAA